GACUUCUUAGUAUAGUUUUAGUAUGUUUGAUUUCCAAUCUUGCGGUUUAUGGGGUUG
This 57-nucleotide transfer RNA is filed under the name Dracunculus medinensis (Guinea worm). RNAcentral describes it as "tRNA-Gly". Lineage: Eukaryota; Metazoa; Nematoda; Chromadorea; Rhabditida; Dracunculidae. The record is from RNAcentral.